Molecule: ribosomal RNA, 406 nt
Filed under: uncultured bacterium
Lineage: Bacteria
Description: partial 16S ribosomal RNA
Rfam family: Bacterial small subunit ribosomal RNA
Source: RNAcentral
AUUGAACGCUGGCGGCAGGCCUAACACAUGCAAGUCGAACGAGUGGCGGACGGGUGAGUAAUGCUUGGGCAUCUAGCUAAUGGAGGGGGAUAACGACGGGAAAAUGUAGCUAAUACCGCGUACCACAGGAUGAGGCCAAGUGGGAUUAGGUAGUUGGUGAGGUAAAGGCACACCCAGCCGACGAUCCCUAGCUGGUCUGAGAGGAUGAUCAGCCACACGGUGACUGAGACACGGCACAGACUCCUACGGGAGGCAGCAGUGGGGAAUAGUGCACACUGGACGCAAGCCUUAUGCAGCCAUGCCGCGUGUAUGAAGAAGGCUUUAGGGUUGUAAAGUACUUUCAGCGGGGAGGCGUUACCCUCAGAAGAAGCACCGGCUAACUCCGUGCCAGCAGCCGCGGUAAUUC